GGUGUUCAACAUAUUCGAAAAAUCUGGACGACAACAAAGCAACAAAUAGCGCUUGGUCAGGAGGUAGGUGUAUCCAGCAGAAGGAAAGGAAGAUGCGAAAGGAAAGGAAAAGAUGAUACUCUAUCCCAAAUCCCCACAGUUCCUUUGAAUAGAAGGUCAACUCUCAGGUCACUUGCUCGCCAAUUGGGUGUCAGUCAUACUACACUCUACAAGAAAUUGAAGCUUUGCAAGAUUAGGAGGCACUCCAAUUGUUUGAAGCCAACCUUGAAAGAAAAGAAUAAAAGAGAAAGGAUCAAGUUUUGUUUGUUAAUGCUUGACGAGACCACCUUAGCAACCCCAAGACCUAAAUUCAUCAGUAUGCACAACAUUGUGCAUAUUGACAAAAGGUGGUUCUAUAUGAAGAAAAUGAACAUAUGCUACUACCUCCUCCCUGAGGAACAUGACCCAGUCAGAACUAUUCGGAACAAGAACUGUAUUGGUAAAGUGAUGUUUCUGACCACUGUUUCUCGACCUAGAUAUGAUGUUGAAGGAAAUAUGACAUUCUCAGGUAAAAUUGGUGUCUGGCCCUUUGUGCAAGAGAUUCCCGCUGCUAGAAUAAGUGAAUAUAAAGCAAGAGGGACCACUGGAAUCAAGUCUGUCAACGUGAACUGA
This 651-nucleotide ribosomal RNA is filed under the name Triticum aestivum (bread wheat). RNAcentral describes it as "partial small subunit ribosomal RNA". The record is from RNAcentral. Lineage: Eukaryota; Viridiplantae; Streptophyta; Magnoliopsida; Poales; Poaceae.